RNAcentral lists this ribosomal RNA (253 nucleotides) under uncultured bacterium. Its description in RNAcentral is "partial 16S ribosomal RNA". It matches the Rfam family "Bacterial small subunit ribosomal RNA", at positions 524 to 776 of the family's 1533-position model. The record is from RNAcentral.
UACAGAGGGUGCGAGCGUUGUUCGGAAUCACUGGGCGUAAAGGGCGCGUAGGCGGCCGCUCAAGUCGGGGGUGAAAGCCUGUGGCUUAACCACAGAAUUGCCUUCGAUACUGUUUGGCUUGAGACCGGAAGAGGUUAGUGGAACUGCGAGUGUAGAGGUGAAAUUCGUAGAUAUUCGCAAGAACACCAGUGGCGAAGGCGGCUGACUGGUCCGGUUCUGACGCUGAGGCGCGAAAGCGUGGGGAGCAAACAGG